UUAACGACAUGGCGGUCAAAUUACAUCAAAAUGCUCAGUUUAACGACAUGGCGGUCAAAUUACAUUUGAUUGCUCAGUUUAACGACAUGGCGGUCAAAUUACAUCAAAAUGCUCACCCUUUUGAAAGCAAUCGAAAUUGUUACACAUAACUGACUCUAAGGCGAGUUAGUGGAAAAAAAUAUAUUUUGGGUAAUAGGAGACAUGGUUUGAUUUUUUUUUUUUUUUUUUUUUUUUUUUUUUUUUUACCUCGAGAAGCAAUCGAAAUUGCCACAUAACUGACCCUAAGGUGAGUUAGCAUUCCGUCAUAGGCAAAAUAUAUUUUGGGUGAUCUGGCGCCCAUAUGGGUUUUCACCAGAUACCUUCCCCUAACUUUUGCCUGUGAGCCUCGAAAGGUUUUCUCACAGCGGGGAUCCCAAUUUUGCCUGUCGGGUUAUACCACAGCCGAAAAUUUUUUGCAUUUUUACCCUUGAAGUCCAAUAUGGACAGUCAAGUCCGCUGGUGACUCAUCUUUUACCCAUAUUAUCUAAAAAAAAUUAGAUAACAUGUCCUCCACUUUUUAUUUUAUACAUAAUAUUUCUUUAAGAAACGGCCGUUGAUAGGUGGCAUUGGCCUUUCACCUUUGGCGUCGAUUAAUU
This 635-nucleotide long non-coding RNA is filed under the name Ananas comosus (pineapple). RNAcentral describes it as "long non-coding RNA (ACOM_LNC037011)". Lineage: Eukaryota; Viridiplantae; Streptophyta; Magnoliopsida; Poales; Bromeliaceae. The record is from RNAcentral.